CCUACGGGAGGCAGCAGUGGGGAAUAUUGCACAAUGGGGGAAACCCUGAUGCAGCGACGCCGCGUGAGUGAAGAAGUAUUUCGGUACGUAAAGCUCUAUCAGCAGGGAAGAAAAUGACGGUACCUGACUAAGAAGCCCCGGCUAACUACGUGCCAGCAGCCGCGGUAAUACGUAGGGGGCAAGCGUUAUCCGGAUUUACUGGGUGUAAAGGGAGCGUAGACGGCAGCGCAAGUCUGGAGUGAAAUCCCAUGGCUUAACCAUGGAACUGCUUUGGAAACUGUGCAGCUAGAGUGCAGGAGAGGUAAGCGGAAUUCCUAGUGUAGCGGUGAAAUGCGUAGAUAUUAGGAGGAACCCCGAUUGCGAAGGCAGCCUGCCGGGGUGCGACUGACGCUGAGGCUCGAAGGUGCGGGUAUCAAACAGGAUUAGAUACCCGUGUAGUC
RNAcentral lists this ribosomal RNA (440 nucleotides) under uncultured bacterium. RNAcentral's name for it is "partial 16S ribosomal RNA". It matches the Rfam family "Bacterial small subunit ribosomal RNA", at positions 338 to 795 of the family's 1533-position model. The record is from RNAcentral.